This 74-nucleotide transfer RNA is filed under the name Fasciola gigantica. RNAcentral's name for it is "tRNA-Thr". It matches the Rfam family "tRNA". Rfam says of the family: Transfer RNA (tRNA) molecules are approximately 80 nucleotides in length. Their secondary structure includes four short double-helical elements and three loops (D, anti-codon, and T loops). Lineage: Eukaryota; Metazoa; Platyhelminthes; Trematoda; Plagiorchiida; Fasciolidae. The record is from RNAcentral.
GACGCGAUUAGCUCAGCUGGUAGAGCAUCUGCCCGGUAUGCGGAGGGUCGCCGGUUCGAUUCCGGCUCGCGGCG